Molecule: long non-coding RNA, 1456 nt
Filed under: Mytilus galloprovincialis (Mediterranean mussel)
Lineage: Eukaryota; Metazoa; Mollusca; Bivalvia; Mytilida; Mytilidae
Source: RNAcentral
GGGGGUUAAAUUUUUCUCAUUUCAGAUUUCAUAAAUAAAAAGAAAAUUUCUUCAAACAUUUUUUUGAGUGGAUUAAUAUUCAACAGCAAAGUGAAUUGCUCAAAGGAAAUAAAAAUAUUUUAAGUUCAUUAGACCACAUUCAUUCUGUGUCAGAAACCUAUGCUGUGUUAACUAUUUUGUUGUUGGGAUGUACAAGUACCCGGCCACGACCACUCUGUGUUUUAGGUUAGAUGUAUUUCUAUUUGUAUCCAUCUCGUGAGUUGAGCCUUUUUCAAAUGAUUUUUACAGUUCGUUCAAUUCUUAUGUUGUACUAUUACAGCACGGUCCCAGGUUAGGAGAGGGUAAGAUCCCGCUAACAUGUUUACCCCCGCCAAAUUCUGUAUGUAUGUGCUUGUCUCAAGUCAGGAGCCUGUAAUUCAGUUGUUGUAAUUUGUUGUUGUGUUACAUAUUUGUUUUUCGUUCAUUUUUUUGUACAUUAAUUAAGCCGUUAGUUUUCUCGUUUGAAUUGUUUUACAUUUGUCAUUUCGGGGCCUUUCAUAGCUGACUAUGCGGUAUGGACUUUGCCCAUUGUUGAAGGCCGUACGGUGACCUAUCGUUGUUAUUUUCUGUGUCUCUUGUAAAGAGUUGUCUCAUUGGCAAUCAUACCACAUCUUCUUUUUUAUAAUUAGUCUUAGGGUGAUCCAUAAAAUAUAUUCAUUACUCGUUAACCUUUUAGAAGCAUUUGAUGGUACAUUAUAUAGAUUUGGGAUUUGCUUUGUUUAUGCCAUAUAGUGACCGGGCUAUUUAUAUCUAUCUGUUUCAAUUGAUCAAAACUGUAGUAGAUAGGGAUAAACGAUAUGCUACCAAUCCAAUAAACGAUUUUAAAUGGAAUGUAUUGAAAUGAGAAAUCAUUCGUAUUGAAAGAAGAGUCGAAUAAAUUUACAUUGAGCGUAUUAUCUUAUAGAGUUGAAAAGGAAUGUGUAUACAAUGAGUUAUAGAGUGUACAUAAACCAGACAGCAAAUCAGCAAUUCGGAAUCCUCACAAGAAUAUAUGUGAAUCAAUAAACAGUCUUUCACAAAGAUAUUAUAAUUUAAUGUUUAGUAAAUAUUUGAACUCUGGUUAAUAUGGGAUUAAGUUAUGAAAUUGUGUACAGAAAAAAAAUUAAUGACGCAAGGUUAUUUGAAAAAUGCCUUUUUUUUAUUAUCUGCAGUUAUAUUAGAACAUAUGUAAUUGUAAAAAGUUAUUGAUGCUUUGGGUAUACAUUCAUGAAGGUAAUUGAACUUUUUGAGAAAGGUCAAUAAGUCAAGAUAAACUGACAAAUUGUAUGUCAGAGUGAUACUGUAAAAAUGUGGUUUUCCUUGUUUAAGUGUUGAAUCGAUAGACAUUUUUGGGAACUUGUAUGAACACUUUUUGUUUAAAUUUUGUAUAAGCUAGCUUUGUCAAUAAUUCUGAAGAAAUGUACAUUUGUGAAUAAAC